RNAcentral lists this ribosomal RNA (1442 nucleotides) under uncultured organism. RNAcentral's name for it is "SSU rRNA". It matches the Rfam family "Bacterial small subunit ribosomal RNA". The record is from RNAcentral.
GAUGAACGCUAGCUACAGGCUUAACACAUGCAAGUCGAGGGGCAUCAGGAAGAAAGCUUGCUUUCUUUGCUGGCGACCGGCGCACGGGUGAGUAACACGUAUCCAACCUGCCCUUUACUCGGGGAUAGCCUUUCGAAAGAAAGAUUAAUACCCGAUAGCAUAAUGAUUCCGCAUGGUUUCAUUAUUAAAGGAUUCCGGUAAAGGAUGGGGAUGCGUUCCAUUAGGUUGUUGGUGAGGUAACGGCCCACCAAGCCUUCGAUGGAUAGGGGUUCUGAGAGGAAGGUCCCCCACAUUGGAACUGAGACACGGUCCAAACUCCUACGGGAGGCAGCAGUGAGGAAUAUUGGUCAAUGGGCGCUAGCCUGAACCAGCCAAGUAGCGUGAAGGAUGAAGGCUCUAUGGGUCGUAAACUUCUUUUAUAUAAGAAUAAAGUGCAGUAUGUAUACUGUUUUGUAUGUAUUAUAUGAAUAAGGAUCGGCUAACUCCGUGCCAGCAGCCGCGGUAAUACGGAGGAUCCGAGCGUUAUCCGGAUUUAUUGGGUUUAAAGGGAGCGUAGGUGGACUGGUAAGUCAGUUGUGAAAGUUUGCGGCUCAACCGUAAAAUUGCAGUUGAUACUGUCAGUCUUGAGUACAGUAGAGGUGGGCGGAAUUCGUGGUGUAGCGGUGAAAUGCUUAGAUAUCACGAAGAACUCCGAUUGCGAAGGCAGCUCACUGGACUGCAACUGACACUGAUGCUCGAAAGUGUGGGUAUCAAACAGGAUUAGAUACCCUGGUAGUCCACACAGUAAACGAUGAAUACUCGCUGUUUGCGAUAUACAGUAAGCGGCCAAGCGAAAGCAUUAAGUAUUCCACCUGGGGAGUACGCCGGCAACGGUGAAACUCAAAGGAAUUGACGGGGGCCCGCACAAGCGGAGGAACAUGUGGUUUAAUUCGAUGAUACGCGAGGAACCUUACCCGGGCUUAAAUUGCAGUGGAAUGAUGUGGAAACAUGUCAGUGAGCAAUCACCGCUGUGAAGGUGCUGCAUGGUUGUCGUCAGCUCGUGCCGUGAGGUGUCGGCUUAAGUGCCAUAACGAGCGCAACCCUUAUCUUUAGUUACUAACAGGUUAUGCUGAGGACUCUAGAGAGACUGCCGUCGUAAGAUGUGAGGAAGGUGGGGAUGACGUCAAAUCAGCACGGCCCUUACGUCCGGGGCUACACACGUGUUACAAUGGGGGGUACAGAAGGCAGCUAGCGGGUGACCGUAUGCUAAUCCCAAAAUCCUCUCUCAGUUCGGAUCGAAGUCUGCAACCCGACUUCGUGAAGCUGGAUUCGCUAGUAAUCGCGCAUCAGCCACGGCGCGGUGAAUACGUUCCCGGGCCUUGUACACACCGCCCGUCAAGCCAUGGGAGCCGGGGGUACCUGAAGUACGUAACCGCAAGGAUCGUCCUAGGGUAAAACUGGAA